UCCAACUCAGGAACCCUGAGAUCAUGUCCUGAGCCAAAGUCAGACGCUUAACCGACUGAGCCACCCAGUUGCCUUGUUAUUUUUGGUUUUUAAGUUUUUACCUAGUUCUCAGUUGUGAAGAAUUCUUUCAAGAACAGUUUCUCUAAAGAACAUAUUUUAAUUAAAUGCUAAUUAAUGACUUUUCUUAGUUUUUCAAUUUAGUAGACCAUUUUUAAUGUCCAUUAAAGUGAAAUAAAACUUCCACCCUUAAAUGUGUUUGUUAAUUAGAAAUUUUGUCAAAAUAAUUUGAUUUCCAUUUCUUCUUGACAAAGCAGGUAUACUGUCCAAAUGAUUGAAUUGUUAAAUUAUCUUUAAGACUUUCUUAAUUGAAGUAAGAGGACUAUGAAGCCUGGAAGACGGGAACAUCCCUGAACCUGUAGUACUUUCCUGUCAUCCCCCAAAAAUGAGACUAGAUGAGUAUAGUAGUAUUAAUGUUUUUAAAACACUGUGAUCCUUUCCAUCAGUUUGCAGUCCAUAUUUAUUCAUACUUUAUGUGAUUAAUUUGUUAAUAUCUGUAUCCUCUUAUAGACUGAAUAUAACCUUGAGUAUGUUUUGACCAACCAUUAUGUCUCCAUUCCAUUUUCUAGUACAGUGCUUGGCAUAUUGAUUGGCUUUUGUAAGUAUCAAGAAGCAAUGCAGCACUUGUUAUGGGCCAGUCACUUAAUCCUAAUGAUAACUCUGUGAGGUAGGUUCUGUUAUUAUAUUGCAGAGGAGGAAAGUGAUUUAUUGCAGAGGUGAAAUAACUUGCCUUAAGUCAAAACUAGUGAGUUAGGGAGAGUAGAGAUUUCAAGCUCAAGCAGCCUGGCUUUGUGUUCUGUGCUUGUCUUUUAACUAUUCUGUGGGGCUUAUGUGUGUCAGUUGUAUUAAUAGUUUCCAUGAAACAUUGGCACAUAGCAUGGAAAAUUGGUAACUCUGUGUUUGGUCACCAGAAACAGAUGUUUAGUUACGUAUGUUGUGUUAGAAGAUAAGUUUAUGAAAUAAAACAUGUAGUCCUUAUGUCUGAGUGGUUUUAGUUUUAAUAAUAGCUGGAUUAAAAACUUCUGAUUUGUGAUUUGACAACUGUUAGGUCUCUAGUUUCUCUCAGCAGCCUCCAAAGAAUUUUCAUAAUCCUCAGUUUCAAAACAAGUUUCCAUUGUUAUUUUGAAAAUGAUAUGUAUCUUGUAUGGAGCUUAUAGAUAGGAAUGCAUAUCUGCGUGUUAGAUAAAAUGUGUAAUGAAACAGCA
This is a long non-coding RNA of Leopardus geoffroyi (Geoffroy's cat), 1262 nucleotides long. RefSeq lists it as uncharacterized. The transcript is spliced from 2 exons. The record is from RefSeq and is a predicted model, not a curated record. Lineage: Eukaryota; Metazoa; Chordata; Mammalia; Carnivora; Felidae.